This 406-nucleotide ribosomal RNA is filed under the name uncultured bacterium. RNAcentral describes it as "bacterial SSU rRNA". It matches the Rfam family "Bacterial small subunit ribosomal RNA", at positions 355 to 773 of the family's 1533-position model. The record is from RNAcentral.
UGGGGAAUAUUGCACAAUGGGCGAAAGCCUGAUGCAGCGACGCCGCGUGAGGGAUGACGGCCUUCGGGUUGUAAACCUCUUUCAGCAGGGAAGAAGCGAAAGUGACGGUACCUGCAGAAGAAGCACCGGCUAACUACGUGCCAGCAGCCGCGGUAAUACGUAGGGUGCGAGCGUUGUCCGGAAUUAUUGGGCGUAAAGAGCUUGUAGGCGGUUUGUCGCGUCUGCCGUGAAAAUUCGAGGCUCAACUCCGGAUCUGCGGUGGGUACGGGCAGACUAGAGUGAUGUAGGGGAGACUGGAAUUCCUGGUGUAGCGGUGAAAUGCGCAGAUAUCAGGAGGAACACCGAUGGCGAAGGCAGGUCUCUGGGCAUUAACUGACGCUGAGGAGCGAAAGCAUGGGGAGCGAAC